AGCUUUGAGGGUAAAGUGUCUGCCUGCAAUGUGGAAGACCCAGGUUCGAUCCCUGG
This 56-nucleotide transfer RNA is filed under the name Capra hircus (goat). RNAcentral also lists the same sequence under 1 other name. The record is from Rfam by way of RNAcentral. Lineage: Eukaryota; Metazoa; Chordata; Mammalia; Artiodactyla; Bovidae.